UUUAACUUGGCAGAAAUAUGCGUUUGAUUUAGGGUUAAAUAAUGAUUUAUAAUCAGUUAAAGGAA
This 65-nucleotide transfer RNA is filed under the name Runcina aurata. Its description in RNAcentral is "tRNA-Leu". Lineage: Eukaryota; Metazoa; Mollusca; Gastropoda; Runcinacea; Runcinidae. The record is from RNAcentral.